UGAGGAACAUGACCUUCGGCGGGGGAGUAGCCGGCCCAACGGCCGGGUAAUACCGCGUACGACCACUUUGGGACAUCCCUAGGUGGUGAAAGCAGCAAUGCGCCGAUGGAGUGCCUCGCGGCCUAUCAGCUAGUUGGUGAGGUAACGGCUCACCAAGGCAACGAUGCGUAGCCGACCUGAGAGGGUGAUCGGCCACAUUGGAACUGAGACACGGUCCAGACUCCUACGGGAGCA
This 234-nucleotide ribosomal RNA is filed under the name uncultured bacterium. RNAcentral describes it as "partial 16S ribosomal RNA". It matches the Rfam family "Bacterial small subunit ribosomal RNA", at positions 118 to 347 of the family's 1533-position model. The record is from RNAcentral.